Triticum dicoccoides is the source of this 2596-nucleotide long non-coding RNA. RefSeq lists it as uncharacterized. The record is from RefSeq and is a predicted model, not a curated record. NCBI's taxonomy places the organism in Eukaryota, Viridiplantae, Streptophyta, Magnoliopsida, Poales, Poaceae. The transcript has 3 exons.
CCGCAUCACCAUGGUCUCGCCCCGCGUUCGCCGUUGACCUGCCCCACCCUCAUUCCGGCCGCGUCCCGUGUGCUCGCCAGCGACGGAGGUGUCCCCGAUCUGCACCUGGAGCGAAGAGGGAUAGCUGCAGCCACAGGUGAUGCCGUCGCCGGGAACGGCUCCUCGUCGUUGUUGACGGGGAGAAUGGAGAAGCAGCCGGCAGUGGUGCUGGCGAACGCGCUGGACGGGAAGGUGCCGCCGUGCGGUCACCUCGAGCAGCCAUCGUUUCCUGCCGGUGGAGAGCUCCUCCAUGGCAGCAUCAACCGGAUCUGGCCAGACCACAUCCAUGCUCCUCCUUCGCGGCUUGUGCAGACUUGCAUACGGCGAUGGUUUCCAUGGAGCCGAGAAAGCAUCACGUCUGAAGAUCCAAGCUAAGAAACUCGGGAAAUCAAGUUGGUGAAUAACAGGACAUACGAUCAGUUUCUUCACACAGAAGAACAGUUACAUGCAUGAUGAGGCAGUGAGUUCAAACAAGACGGAGCAGUGUCAAUGGUCACACGCACUGAUGGAGAUCGAGGUGUCUACCUUCCUAUUGACGAUCCCAUAAUUCAUCCACUAACUGAUGGGUAAGAUAUGUAUUUUGUUCAAAUGAUCUUCAUUAUUUUGCAGCAUGUAAUGCAUUUGUAGGGAUAACCCUUUUUCUUAUUUAUUUUUUCCCUGUGCUUUCUGAAGAUCAGAUUUCGGCCCGUACAAUUUCCAGUGACUGGAAGUCUGAAACUGAAGAUCACAUUGCUUUGGUUCUGAUUUCCAGUGUGUGUAUUGGUACUAAUGCAUUGCCCAAGUAUUUAUUACUAUCAUUGUACAUUGAGUGUAUGAUUCUCAAUUAUGAUGGUCUGUGAUAUUCAAACAAGUUGCUAGGUAGCGGUAGACUUCCUCCAUGGCAUGCCUUUGUUUCUAAAAGCAGGUCAAGACCAUCCUUUUUUAUAGGUUAAAUUUAUUUAUUUGUUCCUUGCUUGGCAAAAGGCAUUGGCGAAGGAUGGGGUUUUUAUAAUUUAUUUAUGCAUCUCUUUUCAACUUUUCAUUCAUGUCUGGUUUUCUAAUUGGUUGUAGGUGGUAAGAAUUGCAUCCGCGUGCAGAGUUAUUGAAAUAUUUGCCACCUAAUCUAAGUUAUAUUUAUGCAAUUCAGUUUGGUUACUUACAAACUGGGAAUAAGUUCUUAGUUAUAUAGCUCAGCUAAAAAAUGCAAAGCCCCCAUAAGAUUGAAGUACUAUAUGGUCAUGUUCGACAUUUUCAGGUAUGUCACUACCUCUACGGCUAUAGAGCUAUUCAGAAGAACAUAUACAUGAGGAAAAUAUAGUAACAUGUAUUUGGCCUGCCAUUUGUUUUUGUUGGCCUAAUUUACCAAUCAAAUUAUAUUUCCUUACUGAUCUUCUUUUUGUAGGUAUUUCCGGCAUACUAUGAUGAAUUGAGCUAAAGAAUUAGGACAGACUGUAUGGUGCAUCUAUUCAUUCCAUGGACAUUCAUCGCCUACUACUCAUGCACCAAGUCAGAAGGAAAGCAAGUUUGUAUCCUAUAAGUUCCACGCUCGAGAUAACUUUUAUCUCUACUCCUAUAAAAAAAUUAUUUGAUGAUGAUGGUGUGUCUGUCAUCAGUCAUUUCUGACCAUUAGAUCUGCACAGUGGCGUACCUAGGGGUGUGUCGGGUGUGCCAUGGCACAUCCAAAAUUUAGUUUUUUUACCGUUUAGUAAUAAUUAGGUGAUUUUCAAGGCCCAUCUAAACCAGUUGUAAGAGACCUCAAUUUUUUAAAGUGUGCACACCCUUUAUUUUAUUUCUGCGUCCGCCACUGGAUCUGUAUCUAACGACUGUGAAGUAAGUUGUGGCCCUUUUGCAACAAUAGCCCACUUCUCUGCUCCAAUUUGCAAAAAAAACCUUAAUAUCUUGAAACCAACCACAUCCCUCCCUCACAUCAUCAAAACAGCCCCAGGAAUAUAUUUUGAGUGAAACAUAAUAUAUUUUUUGUGAUAUAUGUUCAUCAAAACUGGAGUGUUUUCUUUUGAGUUUGUUAACAAGUAUUAUUCUACUUUGAAUCCGUUGCAACGCACAUGCAAAUUUCUAGUAACAAUCUAAAUAUUACCCGUGAUAUCCUUGACACAAUGUUGGUUUUAGAUGCACACCUUUAUCAAGCUAGAUUUGUUGCGUGUGCAUUGCAUGUUGAUGUAAAUUGGGCUUCACUAAUUUUGUGUUUGUCCAUUAUUUUCGAAGUCUGCCCUGAUGUACAUGGUUAGCAGUCAGGGAAACUAGAUAUAGUUGAUGUUUGAUUAUAGUUACUUAAUGGUGUGUUUACCCUUUUGCAAACUUUUACAUACUCAUCUAAAUUUGAGAUUUGAGCCAGUAGAGACAACACAUCGUGAUCUUUUAACCUUGCAUUCCGUGUCAUCCCCCAUGGUCCAGCAGUCCGUGUCGUUGUCCUCGUGCCUCGAUGUGUGGUGCUGAAGAGAAGAACGAUGGCCUCUGCCACUGCCAUGAUAGACGGCGCAUGCAGGUGGCUGCAGGGGGGAGGUGCGACAGAGGGGGCUUGUGCAGGGGGGGCGGCGAUGCGCGGCGGGGCGACAGAAGC